RNAcentral lists this ribosomal RNA (273 nucleotides) under uncultured archaeon. Its description in RNAcentral is "partial 16S ribosomal RNA". It matches the Rfam family "Bacterial small subunit ribosomal RNA", at positions 524 to 794 of the family's 1533-position model. The record is from RNAcentral.
UACAGAGGUCUCAAGCGUUGUUCGGAUUCAUUGGGCGUAAAGGGUGCGUAGGUGGCGGGGUUAGUCAGGUGUGAAAUCUCGGGGGCUCAACCCCGAACUAGCACUUGAUACUGCCUUGCUAGAGUAUAGUAGAGGAGAGGGGAAGUUCCUGGUGUAGCAGUGAAAUGCGUAGAGAUCAGGAGGAACAUCAGUGGCGAAGGCGCCUCUCUGGACUAAUACUGACACUGAAAAGCGAAGGCGUGGGGAUCAAACAGGAUUAGAAACCCUGGUAGU